RNAcentral lists this ribosomal RNA (465 nucleotides) under uncultured bacterium. Its description in RNAcentral is "partial 16S ribosomal RNA". It matches the Rfam family "Bacterial small subunit ribosomal RNA", at positions 28 to 507 of the family's 1533-position model. The record is from RNAcentral.
GAUGAACGCUGACAGCAUGCUUAACACAUGCAAGUCGAUGGGGAAGUGCUGCUUUCACCGUGGCAACCAUGGCGGACGGGUGAGUAACGCGUAAGGGACUUACCUGCAGGACUGGGAUAACAGGGGGAAACUCCUGACAAGAUCGGAUAAUGUCAUGGAGCUGCAUGGCUUUAUGAUGAAAGGAUGCGCCUGCUGAGAGCCUUGCGUCCUAUUAGCUAGUUGGUGGGGUAAUGGUUUACCAAGGCGGUGAUAGGUAGCCGGCCUGAGAGGGUGGAAGGCCACAGUGGGACUGAGAUACGGCCCAGACUCCUACGGGAGGCAGCAGUGGGGAAUAUUGCACAAUGGGCGGAAGCCUGAUGCAGCAACGCCGCGUGCGGGAUGACGGCCUUCGGGUUGUAAACCGCGUUCGCCUGUGACGAAGCGUGAGUGACGGUAAUGGGUAAAGAAGCACCGGCUAACUACGUG